GUCGGGCCGUUCCCCGUUCGGGGGGACAGGGUGACAGGUGGUGCAUGGUUGUCGUCAGCUCGUGUCGUGAGAUGUUGGGUUAAGUCCCGCAACGAGCGCAACCCCUAUUGUUAGUUGCCAUCAUUCAGUUGGGCACUCUAGCGAGACUGCCGGUAAUAAACCGGAGGAAGGUGGGGAUGACGUCAAAUCAUCAUGCCCCUUAUGACCUGGGCUACACACGUGCUACAAUGGUUGGUACAACGAGUUGCGAGUCGGUGACGGCGAGCUAAUCUCUUAAAGCCAAUCUCAGUUCGGAUUGUAGGCUGCAACUCGCCUACAUGAAGUCGGAAUCGCUAGUAAUCGCGGAUCAGCACGCCGCGGUGAAUACGUUCCCGGGCCUU
Molecule: ribosomal RNA, 380 nt
Filed under: uncultured Streptococcus sp.
Lineage: Bacteria; Bacillati; Bacillota; Bacilli; Lactobacillales; Streptococcaceae
Description: bacterial SSU rRNA
Rfam family: Bacterial small subunit ribosomal RNA
Source: RNAcentral